Macrobrachium nipponense is the source of this 292-nucleotide long non-coding RNA. RefSeq lists it as uncharacterized. The record is from RefSeq and is a predicted model, not a curated record. The transcript has 3 exons. Lineage: Eukaryota; Metazoa; Arthropoda; Malacostraca; Decapoda; Palaemonidae.
AUCCAGUUUUGAGGGCCGUGACGCCCGGCCGUCCUCUUGAUGGCGGUGUUGCAUCCGCGUCCCUUUCUUGCUGUUUCAAUAAAAUCUUCCCCUGCAUUGCAAGCAUUCAGAUUCAUCUAUAUAUUUGUGAAGGGAUGUAUCUGUUGGUCGAUAAUCCAUCGAAAACACUUCUGGCCUUGAUACUCAUUUUAUUGGGACCUGCUUCUGUCUCGACGAACAUACAUCAGAUGUUCAGGACACACCAUACUGAUAUGAAAAAGGAAGAAGUAACUGGCGUUCAUCAGAGGCAAAG